This is a long non-coding RNA of Onychostoma macrolepis, 2008 nucleotides long. RefSeq lists it as uncharacterized. The transcript is spliced from 5 exons. NCBI's taxonomy places the organism in Eukaryota, Metazoa, Chordata, Actinopteri, Cypriniformes, Cyprinidae. The record is from RefSeq and is a predicted model, not a curated record.
UAGCCUACUGUAUGACAUGGGGGCGUUCGCGCAAUAAUUUUAUUUUUAUUUUUUUCAUGAGGAAUAAGUUUAAAAUACUCGUGUCAUUUUUGGAUGUGCUUUCUGUCACCUCAUGCAGUCUCCGUGAAUGGAGCGCUCACAACAAUGAACCAGUUCACAGACAAAUCUUGCAGAAAUCUUGAAAACCUAUUUAAAAAAAAUACACAAACAAACAAAUAAAUAAAAAUAAAAAGAUUCUCUGAUUAUGUAGGUGCAUUAGGCUUGCUGCAACGGUGUUGGUGGUGAUACCGGUGUUAAGCACCGUCCCUCACCGUCAUUUUGAUUUUUUUUUUUAUAGUAAUAACAAUACUUUAGUUUCAGUUUAGAGAACAGACACAACAAUUAGAACUAAACGCGGCUGCUCAAUGCAGCACACCGAACGAACGACAGUCGCGCAUCACAGACCAGAUUUCAUUUAUCACGAGCUGACUGACAAGAAGAGUGAGGUGAGACAGACAAGACGAUGGCAGACGAGUUUCAAAACGAAAUGUAAAAGCGCCUGUUUUUUAAAAUAUUUUGGAUUUUGGAUAUUGGAAAAGCCUGUUGACGUGCCAUUUAGCCUAAGGUGAUAUUGGAAGUUUUUUAUCAUUCGGUUCUCAUUUAUUUGGUUCCACAGUAUUUGCUGAUUUGUAUUUUAUGUAAACUGUGUGAUUCUAAAUUUAUUUAAAAAAGAAUUCACAUAGUGUUACGUUUCGAGCGAAUUUUUUUAAAAUACAUUUAUUUUAUACUUUUGGAGCUUUAGUGUUGCCGACUUUGCAUUUUGAAUUGAAUUAAAGCAAUUGAUGCCGAAUUUACUGCUACAAGUGCUGGGCUAUUUCUGUAAACAUAUUGUUGGGUUAAUUGUGCUGGGUCAUAAUUCUGGGUUGUUUGCUGUACUGUAAACACAUAGUUGGGUUAUUAGUGCUGGGUCAAAUGACUGCAAGGGGUUCUUUCACCACUGAACACCUGGGUCGGGUUAUUUUUCCUCUUCAUCGAAUUUUCUGGGUUCUUCACUCGUCUCGUCGUCAGACGGUCAAGCAGCUCGCAGCAAGCAGGAUUAUAAGGUAACUUUAGCUGCAUUAGCUACCCUUAACGUUAAAGCACAAUAUUGCAGAAUUUGUUUUGCCUCCCCAAAAAAUUUGAGAUGGUGGAUUCGCAGCAAUGGGUCUACAAGCAUCCCAGAAAUCUUGAAGUUCCCCAGGCUUCUAGAAAAACUUGGCAUGAUGCUAAAAGGGAGAGUGCUUUCAAAGUCCUGCCCACUCUGCUUCCCCAAUCAAUAUUCGAGAACGGAGGAAAGGUCUUCAGACCCACAACCACAGAAUCCUGGAAGUCAUUAAUUUGACGUACAACCUGUGGGGACCAACAUGGUGAUGCAUUCCUGCACAUUUUGUGCCUUGGUGACGAGACAACGACAUCCCACACCUUCGCCAUUGUUUCGGGCCGUGCCGUUGAAACGGACUUGUUGCUUGAGGCUGUUUAUCUUUUUCAAGUCCUUUUUUUGUGCUUGAUGUUAGCUACACUAACAUCUUCCUUCCUGGGAAUUUCUCCAGCAUGCAGUAUAUCAUAUUGAUGGACAUGAGUCUUCAUGUGCGAAGUAUUUGAGGGCAACAGUUUUUUCUGGCCACUUGUAACAUUUUAAUUUUUUGUCACAUGUAUUGUCUGUUGUAGGUCUCUUUGUUUGGCUUAGGUUUAAUGGCACAAUAUUUGGACUGAUUCUCAUGUGGCAAUAAUCAAUUUCAUAGUGUUAUGAUGCUGCAAUGUUGACAAAGAAUAGGAAUCUACAGUACCUAGUUUACAAAGUUUUGUUUUUUAAAGAAACUGAUCUACAAAAAACAUUUUAUUUGUGUCUGUAGGGAUUGGGUGUAAUGUGUAACAGUAUAGCACGCAUUCAAAAACUUUUUAAAAAGAAAUGUGAAAACUCAUUAAAUUGAUAUUUACAGUUGCAUUUUUUUGUAUUGUGUAAUUGUAUUACAGAAAAAUAAUAAUUUUA